Leucoraja erinaceus (little skate) is the source of this 979-nucleotide long non-coding RNA. RefSeq lists it as uncharacterized. The record is from RefSeq and is a predicted model, not a curated record. NCBI's taxonomy places the organism in Eukaryota, Metazoa, Chordata, Chondrichthyes, Rajiformes, Rajidae. The transcript is spliced from 3 exons.
GUGACCCCGGGGUCGGACAUUGGAGCGGAGCUAUAGCCCGAGAUUCAUCCCCGCGGCUCCGGAGGCGGCACCGACGCCCCCACUCCCACUCACCCAGUUCGCUCCUGACUCCGGGCCGGGGUUAAAGCUCCAUGCGGUGUGGACAGAGCGGCUGCCGGCCACAGAGUCGCCGGAGGUGAGGGUGGGAGGUGUGAGCAGUUCCUCCGGGAUCGGUGCUGGGACCACCGCCGUGUUUCAUCUAUCACAUCAUCUGCACGAGAUGUCAAUGCGGAAUACAAGGCAGCAUUUAUUGCCCAUAUCGAUUGCGCGAGAGAAUGUGAUGGCAGGUUACAUUUAACUGCUGAAAUGCUUAAGAAUACACUCUGACAAUACAAACCUGGUAGUUUACGGAUUUGGACCCACUGGCAAAGAAGGAAUAGUAUUAUUUCUUCAAGCCAGGAUCAUGUGUGACUCUGAGAGAACUUACAAAUGCCCACAGUCAAUAUGAAUCAAGGACAGAUCAGUCUCAAUCUGUCGAGAGCCUUGAUCGCCUCAUCACAGCGGGAGAACAAGCAAGGAAGAGAGAAGACUUUUUGCCUUCCAUCACAGUGAGGAGGUGCCUGGAGAUUCGCUGUGAUGGAUGUUUGUGUUAAAUUGUGUGUGUGGAUUUUGUUGCUUUUUUCUGUCAUGACUGCAUGGUACGAAAUGUAAUUCAAACUUGUUUGAAUGAUAAUAAAGGAAAUUCUGUUAUGUCCUUGAUGAGUGCAGAGUUGUUUCAUUAAUUCUGAAUAUAUGGACAAAAGAACAUAUUGAUUGAAAGCCCAAAGAACACACUCUGUCCGUCAUGCCUGCUCCGCCAUUCAAUAAGAUGCAGGCAGAUCUGACUGUGAUAUCAGUUAGAAACAUAGAAAUUAGGUGCUUGAAUGGGCCAUUCGGCCCUUUGAGCCAGCACCGCCAUUCAAUAUGAUCAUUGCUGUUCAUCCAGAAUCAGUACCCUGUU